AGCAAAUAAUCUUUUUUUACAAAAUAGAAGUGGUUACAUAGUGAUAUACUGAAUAGAAAUAAGAGAACUAAAGAAUAUCAUAUAAUUAACUCUAUCUGUUUAUGAAUAGUCUUUAUUCUCAUACAACCCUGAUAUAACUGUGAACUAAAGAAAUUCUACAUAACAAAAAUAACCUUACCACAGUAGAAAAAAACAUUUGAUACAAACUGCUGAAUGAAAAUUAUGGCACCAUUUUCACCAGCCCUUCAAGAACAAGCAUACCCGAAUAUCCAUAAUAAUGGUCAGCAUCACUCUGCUCAGAUAUCUAACUCUCCAAUCAGUUUCCUCGGCUGUGCAAGCGAAUCAACCCAAAGAUAACUUACUGAGACAGUAACAAGGUGUUUAUCCGGUUUCUAGACAGUUGCAAAGAAGAAUGCCAUAGAGAGGAUCAACGUCACCACUAGCUUUAGCGAAGAAACCUUCCAUACAGUACCAGCAUUUGGCAUAUACGGAUAUGAAUCAGGUUGAGGCAUGACACAGUUAUCACCGUUGAAAUAAACUCUGUGUGGGAAAGCCCACCCCUUCUCAAAAGUGAAAGUCGACAUAUCCUUGCGGAAUAGAAGCUCAGACUGGACAUUUCCUAAUGGACCAGCUUGCAUGAGCAGAUCGUUGUAGAAUUUCAUACCCCAGAGCAUAGCAGUGUCAUUUAUUGCUCCAUAAGGAGUUAAUGACUUGUAAUGAAAGCUGAAUAACUGAGUGAGGUUGUCGAAAUUGGGAUGCUGGACAACUAAGUUCCAUUGCGUAUAAUUCAUAUUGUAAUUGAAGUUAGUUAUAGUGACCUUCACCCUCCAAUACUCCUUGUAGUUGAGUUUCACAUGCCAGUGAAUUCUAAUAGGGCACAUAUGACUAGUGCACUGAACCAAAGGAGCAUAAUUGUUUUUUCCAAGGCCUGAAACAACUGAAGCUAAGUGUGGUUCGUCUUGAUCUACACAAUUUCCAUGCUGGGUACCAUUCUUCUGGCAGCCACAAGUGCAUGUUGGACACGGUACAAUGGUGUCAUUGUAGAAGGAUGAAAGGGAGACACAGCAUGUAGGAGUCUUUUGAGCUAGGAACUGUGAGUAUGUGCAUGUGACAUUCCAAGUCAUCAUGGCUUGUGUUAUUCGUCUCCCAUCACCACUAGAGAACUUGGUGGGUUUAACAACUUUAGCGGGUCCACAAGUAUAACCAGGCCCUGGUGCCUUAAGGGUGAAAUUCUUAGGAACUCUAACUGUUUUAUUUGUUGUCCCAGCUGCACCAACACUGACUUGGAAUGAGCUAACGGCAGUUUCAGGAUCUUGUCCCCAUGAGUUGAUCACUCCUCCCUUACAGCAAUUUGCAAUCUGCUGAUUGUAAGGAGUUCCGGGCAGUAAAUCGACGACGGUUGGAUCCCUCUUGCAGCAAUGGGGAAUGUUUCCUUUAAAUUUUGAACAAUCUCCUUGCUCUGUUGUUUGAGCUCCCAUCAUGCCCCAUAUCACCUCCUUCUUCGCCCAUGUCCAUCCCAACGUCCAACCUGGUGCUUGAAUAUGUCUGUAUUGUUGGAAGUUAAACAUAGUCACAACAGCAACAUAUCCAUCAGGUGUCCAGCUGAUGACAUCCCAUUUGAUUGUGAUGUUCCCAUUGGGGUCAAGUGCGUCGAAAGCAUCUGUUGCUGAAAAGCUGAAGCAUGACAACAAGAAGACUAAUAAUAUGGUAGAUCUGAAGAACUCCAUAGACCCUUCUUUAGCUGCAGCAGAUUUUCUCUGUAGGCAAUGUCUGUUCAAGAUCUGCUAAAAUGAGAGUAAAAGAGGAGGAGAAAAAUCUUGGCGGUGAGUGGCAGCUGGAAGUGAGCUCACAUGGCAACUUAGUCUAUUGAAGCUAAA
RNAcentral lists this unclassified non-coding RNA (1877 nucleotides) under Hevea brasiliensis (rubber tree). The record is from RNAcentral. Lineage: Eukaryota; Viridiplantae; Streptophyta; Magnoliopsida; Malpighiales; Euphorbiaceae.